Molecule: ribosomal RNA, 460 nt
Filed under: uncultured bacterium
Lineage: Bacteria
Description: partial 16S ribosomal RNA
Rfam family: Bacterial small subunit ribosomal RNA
Source: RNAcentral
CCUACGGGUGGCAGCAGUGAGGAAUAUUGGUCAAUGGACGAGAGUCUGAACCAGCCAAGUAGCGUGAAGGAUGACUGCCCUAUGGGUUGUAAACUUCUUUUAUAUGGGAAUAAAACGUUCCACGUGUGGGAUUUUGUAUGUACCAUAUGAAUAAGGAUCGGCUAACUCCGUGCCAGCAGCCGCGGUAAUACGGAGGAUCCGAGCGUUAUCCGGAUUUAUUGGGUUUAAAGGGAGCGUAUGUGGAUUGUUAAGUCAGUUGUGAAAGUUUGCGGCUCAACCGUAAAAUUGCAGUUGAAACUGGCAGUCUUGAGUACAGUAGAGGUGGGCGGAAUGCGUGGUGUAGCGGUGAAAUGCUUAGAUAUCACGAAGAACUCCGAUUGCGAAGGCAGUUCACUGGACUGCAACUGACACUGAGGCUCGAAAGUGUGGGUAUCAAACAGGAUUAGAUACCCUGGUAGUC